CAUGCAAGUCGAGGGGUAACAGGAGAUAGCUUGCUAUCUUGCUGACGACCGGCGAACGGGUGAGUAACGCGUAGGAAUCUGCCUCAAAGCAGGGGAUAGCCCGGGGAAACUCGGAUUAAUACCGUAUAUAUUCUAAGGAAUAAAGAUGCCUUUUGGUGUCGCUUUGAGAUGAGCCUGCGUCCGAUUAGCUUGUUGGUAAGGUAAAAGCUUACCAAGGCGACGAUCGGUAGCUGGUCUGAGAGGACGUGCAGCCACACUGGGACUGAGACACGGCCCAGACUCCUACGGGAGGCAGCAGUGGGGAAUAUUGGACAAUGGGCGCAAGCCUGAUCCAGCAAUGCCGCGUGAGUGAUGAAGGCCCUAGGGUUGUAAAGCUCUUUUACUAGGGAUGAUAAUGACAGUACCUAGAGAAUAAGCUCCGGCUAACUCCGUGCCAGCAGCCGCGGUAAUACGGAGGGAGCUAGCGUUGUUCGGAAUUACUGGGCGUAAAGCGCGCGUAGGCGGCUCGUCAAGUCAGGGGUGAAAGCCCGGGGCUCAACCCCGGAACUGCCUUUGAAACUAGCGAGCUAGAAUCUUGUAGAGGUUAGCGGAAUUCCGAGU
RNAcentral lists this ribosomal RNA (600 nucleotides) under uncultured Alphaproteobacteria bacterium. RNAcentral describes it as "bacterial SSU rRNA". It matches the Rfam family "Bacterial small subunit ribosomal RNA", at positions 54 to 674 of the family's 1533-position model. The record is from RNAcentral. Lineage: Bacteria; Pseudomonadati; Pseudomonadota; Alphaproteobacteria.